GUGGGAUUGCAGACCAGCAAACUGGGGUGAAGAAGUUGAAAUUUUUUUACACUUGAAAUAACAACAUGAGUGAUGUUAAGUAGAAAAGGUUAAACACAUUGAAAUAAAUGUAUUAAUUCAUUAAUUUUACUCAUGCUGUCCCUUUUCUCAAAGCACCAGGCCACACCAUAAUAGCUACAUCUGCUUCUGUUGUACAUAUUGUUUAGUUCUAGUUUUGUUGGCUCAGAGAAUAGAAACUGGUCUUUCUGUGGGGAAACAAAGAAUUUGUUUUUGUAAAUUGCCAUUUUUUUCCUGAAUAAAUCAUGACAAACUUGGCAGGUUGAACAGAUCAGCCAUAUGGAAUUUGGCAAUUUUUAGUCUGCUAAGGAUAAUUAAACAUGGAUGUUAUGUAGUCUAAUGAGAUACAUGUUUGUGGUACAGGGGAGAAGCAGAGACACAAACUGAAGAGAUGGCACUCAGGAAAAAAUGUGUCUUUAGGCAGAUUUGGAACUGGUGACAAAUAAGAAAUCUGAAGCAUUUUCAGACACACUUAACAGGCUAAGAGCAAAAUCAGAGAUCUCAGAGAGUGGCAGCAGAGGCUUGUCUCACCAGUCCAAAUGCUCUGAAGUCAUUCCCACGGCUUGUAAAGCUGUGAGUAUUUUGACAGGAUUCAGUAAUUACCUCUUCUUUUUAAAGUAGGAAACAGUAAUAA
Molecule: long non-coding RNA, 691 nt
Filed under: Anas platyrhynchos platyrhynchos (common mallard)
Lineage: Eukaryota; Metazoa; Chordata; Aves; Anseriformes; Anatidae
Description: lncRNA (ENSAPLG00000026106.1)
Source: RNAcentral